Molecule: long non-coding RNA, 166 nt
Organism: Neodiprion fabricii
Lineage: Eukaryota; Metazoa; Arthropoda; Insecta; Hymenoptera; Diprionidae
Exons: 3
Source: RefSeq, a predicted model, not a curated record
UCUUCUCGUCCUCUAAUAAAAUUUAAGCUUUUUAACUCAAAAAUUAAAUUCAAUAAUUAAUAAUUAUAAGACAGUCUUAAUCUCUUCAAAUCAUUCAUUCCAGAUAUCGGGAGAGCGGGAGGAAGAAGGGAAAAUGGGUUGGGAAUUUUAUAUUCCGAAGAUUGUG